RNAcentral lists this small nuclear RNA (107 nucleotides) under Propithecus coquereli (Coquerel's sifaka). The record is from RNAcentral. Lineage: Eukaryota; Metazoa; Chordata; Mammalia; Primates; Indriidae.
GUGCUUGCUCUGGUAGCACAUAUAUUAAAAUUGGAAUGAUACAGAGAAGAUUAGCAUGGCCCCUGCACAAGGACAACAUUCAAAUUUGUGAAACACUGCAUAUUUUU